GACGAACGCUGGCGGCGUGCCUAAUACAUGCAAGUUGAGCGCUGAAGGUUGGUACUUGUACCAACUGGAUGAGCAGCGAACGGGUGAGUAACGCGUGGGGAAUCUGCCUUUGAGCGGGGGACAACAUUUGGAAACGAAUGCUAAUACCGCAUAAAAACUUUAAACACAAGUUUUAAGUUUGAAAGAUGCAAUUGCAUCACUCAAAGAUGAUCCCGCGUUGUAUUAGCUAGUUGGUGAGGUAAAGGCUCACCAAGGCGAUGAUACAUAGCCGACCUGAGAGGGUGAUCGGCCACAUUGGGACGGAGACACGGCCCAAACUCCUACGGGAGGCAGCAGGAGGGAAUCUUCGGCAAUGGACGAAAGUCUGACCGAGCAACGCCGCGUGAGGGAAGAAGGUUUUCGGAUCGUAAAACUCUGUUGGUAGAGAAGAACGUUGGUGAGAGUGGAAAGCUCAUCAAGUGACGGUAACUACCCAGAAAGGGACGGCUAACUACGUG
Molecule: ribosomal RNA, 497 nt
Filed under: uncultured bacterium
Lineage: Bacteria
Description: partial 16S ribosomal RNA
Rfam family: Bacterial small subunit ribosomal RNA
Source: RNAcentral